AUUGAACGCUGGCGGCAUGCCUUACACAUGCAAGUCGAACGGUAACGGGCCUUCGGGUGCCGACGAGUGGCGAACGGGUGAGUAAUACAUCGGAACGUGCCCGAUCGUGGGGGAUAACGAGGCGAAAGCUUUGCUAAUACCGCAUACGAUCUACGGAUGAAAGCAGGGGACCGCAAGGCCUUGCGCGGGCGGAGCGGCCGAUGGCAGAUUAGGUAGUUGGUGGGAUAAAAGCUUACCAAGCCGACGAUCUGUAGCUGGUCUGAGAGGAUGAUCGGCCACACUGGGACUGAGACACGGCCCAGACUCCUACGGGAGGCAGCAGUGGGGAAUUUUGGACAAUGGGCGCAAGCCUGAUCCAGCCAUGCCGCGUGCAGGAUGAAGGCCUUCGGGUUGUAAACUGCUUUUGUACGGAACGAAAAGCCUUCUUUUAAUACAGGAGGGUCAUGACGGUACCGUAAGAAUAAGCACCGGCUAACUACGUG
Molecule: ribosomal RNA, 482 nt
Filed under: uncultured bacterium
Lineage: Bacteria
Description: partial 16S ribosomal RNA
Rfam family: Bacterial small subunit ribosomal RNA
Source: RNAcentral